UCUCUUAUUCUCUUUAUUAUGAUAUUGGCUAAUAUAUGACUGAUACCUCCUAUUCCCAUACCCCACUAUAUAUCUCACUCUCCACCCAUCCCCCACUAUAUCUCUCAAUCUCCACCCAUCCCUCUCCCCUCCAGUCUCAAUGUAGUGAUGUGGGUCAGUCUGCAGCAGCAGCCCGGGGGUUUGCAUUCAUCUUAAGACAGCUAGGUGAGACAACCACAUAUCACAGUCGUAGUCAGUACACUAUCUCAAUAAAGAAAAUAUCAGCAAAGUCAGUGCUAGAAGGAAAAGACAAGUGCCAGGUUGUUGUCAUUUAUCACCUCCAAUGUCAGGUUCAAACAACUUUUUUAUGAUGCUAUGCCAUUAUUUCUCUCCAUGUUCAGGUUUGUGUGUGGAUCCUGUGCGUGGAGCAGUCAUUUGUGCAGCCUUUGGUAUCUGUGUGAUGCCCAGAUACUGAGAGCACAGUGGGCCCAUGGUCACUAGCAUUGUCUCAGACCCAGUACUUACCUCAGCCUCUUACCUCAAGCCCAGCCCAGGCUUUACCAUAGCCUGUGAGGCUGGAUCCUCUGAGCCCAGAAACACCACCUAACUCUCUUUGCAUGUUCUCGGGUCAGUAUAUAUACUGUACACGUCAUUCACCUUUGUGGCUUGAAAGUCACGCUGUCUUCCUUUAUCAAUUAUUUUCAGGGUUGGCCCAGAUGUUGUUUUGUUACAGAAAGACAAACAGUUGUUAUUUUGAGUGUUUUGUGGCUGUAGCCUAUCUGCAUGUCUUGCUUUGUGAGAAACAGAGAGGCGUUCUUGUGGUUAGUCGAAUGCAUUGUGUUCUUCCGCUGUUAUUCACAGUUUCCCUCAAGCAGUUGAGCCACUGAUUCUGACAACCUUUUAAGGCCCUCCAAUAUAGCUAGCUGUGGACUGAAGAACAAAUCAUUCAAGGAAUGUACUUUAUAACACUCACACCUUGUUGGUAUAAAUGCAAAGUCAUUUGUGAGUUAAAUGUACCUGGUUUGUGUUCUUUUUAUUGGAUUAAUCCAAUAUGUUUUGGUAUGUGUUUAUUGAAUGACUUGUCAAUCAGGACAAGCUGCUCUUUCUCUAUUUACUAAUGGUAAUUAAGAGAUAAUAGACAAGCUUCCAAGAUAUGUAACUUUCAAAACACAGAAAUCUGGCCAUCAUGGAUAAUACGGGCCAGAUUUAUGAUUUUUGAAAGUUACAUAUCUUGAAAACUUGAUUGAUGACAUGCAAUCAACAUAUCAACAAUGUACUAUUGAAACAAAUGGCAAAAUCUAUCGUAUUUGGGUGGAGUUGUCCUUUAAGUGAUCAAAUCAAACUAAAGAGUAAUGUAAGCCCUUAAGGUACUGGAAACAAAUCCUUUCACUGUCUGUCUGCACUACAGCCUAUUUUAUGUGCAAAUGUAGGGAAAGUUGAGUAAAUCACGACAAGCUGCAUCUGUUAACAUCCUGUGUCACAGCAAAGAUCAAAGGUGAAACUGUGAACCUUCUGGAUUAGUUCAGGUCUCCUUCCCUUGUCUUCCAUGUCGGAUCAAACUGUGAACCCUCUGGAUUAGUUCAGGUCUCCUUCCCUUGUCUUCCAUGUUGGAUCAAACUGUGAACCCUCUGGAUUAGUUCAGGUCUCCUUCCCUUGUCUUCCAUGUUGGAUCAAACUGUGAACCCUCUGGAUUAGUUCAGGUCUCCUUCCCUUGUCUUCCAUGUUGGAUCAAACUGUGAACCCUCUGGAUUAGUUCAGGUCUCCUUCCCUUGUCUUCCAUGUUGGAUCAAACUGUGAACCCUCUGGAUUAGUUCAGGUCUCCUUCCCUUGUCUUCCAUGUUGGAUCAAACUGUGAACCCUCUGGAUUAGUUCAGGUCUCCUUCCCUUGUCUUCCAUGUUGGAUCAAACUGUGAACCCUCUGGAUUAGUUCAGGUCUCCUUCCCUUGUCUUCCAUGUUGGAUCAAACUGUGAACCCUCUGGAUUAGUUCAGGUCUCCUUCCCUUGUCUUCCAUGUUGGAUCAAACUGUGAACCCUCUGGAUUAGUUCAGGUCUCCUUCCCCUGUCUUCCAUGCUGGAUCAAACUGUGAACCCUCUGGAUUAGUUCAGGACUCUCUCACUGGUCUUUCAUAUUUGAUCAGCUGGCAGAAUAAUACAACAAACACCAAUGCCUGAAUCACACUACUUACACGAACCUGAACCAUGCUGUCCUGGCUCAGAUAGUUUUUCUUCUUCAAAUUGUCCUUUCCAGCACGGUUCCAGCAACUAUGGUAACCAGGCCAGCACUGUACAGCUCUGCUUGGCUCUGUAGUAUAGAAAAGGGUUUAAUAUAUCUUCAUCUACACUCGUAAGUACCUUCUAACGUUUGGCAGCUUGCCUUGGCUCUGUGUGAAGGCUCAGAGUUGUUUUAAUCAAGUUGGAAAUGAUCUAUGGUGCCUUCAGAAAGUAUUCAUAUCCCUUGACUUAUUCCACAUUUUGUUGUGUUGAAUUCUGAAUUCAAAAUGUAUUAAAUGUAUUUGUUUUUCACCCAUCUACACACAAUAGCCAUAAUGACAAAAUGAAAACAUGUAUUUAGAAAUGUUAGCACAUUUAUUGAAAAUGAAAAGCAGAAAUAUCUCAUUUACAUAAAUAUUUACACCCACGAGUCAAUACAUGUUAGAAUCACCUUUGGCAGCUUUGACUGCUCUGAGUCUUUCUGGGUAAGCUGGUCUUGUCCUUUCCAGCACGGUUCCAGCAACUAUGGUAACCAGGCCAGCACAGUACAGCUCUGUAGUAUAGAAAAGGGUUUAAUAUGUCUUCAUCUACACUCAUAUACUUGGGCGGCAGGUAGCCUAGUGGUUAAAGCAUUGGGCCUGUAACCUGAAAGGUUGCUGGAUCAAAUCCCCGGGCUGACAAGGGAAAAGAUAUGUUGGUCUGCCCAUGAACAAGGCAGUUAACCCACUGUCCCUGGUAGGCUGUCAUUGUAAAUAAGAAUUUGUUCUUAACUGAAUUGCCGAGUUAAAUAAAGCUUUU
Long non-coding RNA from Oncorhynchus keta (chum salmon), 2988 nucleotides. RefSeq lists it as uncharacterized. The record is from RefSeq and is a predicted model, not a curated record. NCBI's taxonomy places the organism in Eukaryota, Metazoa, Chordata, Actinopteri, Salmoniformes, Salmonidae. The transcript is spliced from 3 exons.